This 812-nucleotide ribosomal RNA is filed under the name uncultured bacterium. Its description in RNAcentral is "bacterial SSU rRNA". It matches the Rfam family "Bacterial small subunit ribosomal RNA", at positions 60 to 888 of the family's 1533-position model. The record is from RNAcentral.
AGUCGAGCGAUGAACACCUUCGGGUGUGAAUUAGCGGCGAACGGGUGAGGAACACGUGAAGAAUCUGCCUUCAACUCUGGGAUAACUCCGGGAAACCGGGGCUAAUACCGGAUAUGAGCCUCGAUCGCAUGAUUGGGGCUGGAAAGUUUUUCGGUUGAAGAUGACUUCGCGGCCUAUCAGCUUGUUGGUGAGGUAAUGGCUCACCAAGGCGACGACGGGUAGCCGGCCUGAGAGGGCGACCGGCCACACUGGGACUGAGACACGGCCCAGACUCCUACGGGAGGCAGCAGUGGGGAAUAUUGGGCAAUGGAGGAAACUCUGACCCAGCGACGCCGCGUGAGGGAUGAAGGCCUUCGGGUUGUAAACCUCUUUCAGUAGGGAAGAAGCGAAAGUGACGGUACCUACAGAAGAAGCACCGGCUAACUAUGUGCCAGCAGCCGCGGUAAUACAUAGGGUGCAAGCGUUGUCCGGAAUUAUUGGGCGUAAAGAGCUCGUAGGUGGUUCGAUACGUCGGAUGUGAAAAUCAGGGGCUCAACCCCUGACCUGCAUCCGAUACGGUCGAGCUAGAGUUUGGUAGGGGAGACUGGAAUUCCUGGUGUAGCGGUGGAAUGCGCAGAUAUCAGGAGGAACACCGAUGGCGAAGGCAGGUCUCUGGGCCAAUACUGACACUGAGGAGCGAAAGCGUGGGGAGCGAACAGGAUUAGAUACCCUGGUAGUCCACGCCGUAAACGGUGGGCGCUAGUUGUGCGAACCUUCCACGGUUUGUGCGACGCAGCUAACGCAUUAAGCGCCCCGCCUGGGGAGUACGAUCG